Molecule: ribosomal RNA, 109 nt
Filed under: Danio rerio (zebrafish)
Lineage: Eukaryota; Metazoa; Chordata; Actinopteri; Cypriniformes; Danionidae
Source: RNAcentral
GCUUACGGCCAUACCACCCUGGAAAUGUCUGAACUCGGAAGUAAAGCAGGGUCGGGCCUGGUUAGUACUUGGAUGGGAGACCGCCUGGGAAUACCAGGUGCUGUAAGCU